RNAcentral lists this ribosomal RNA (425 nucleotides) under uncultured prokaryote. RNAcentral's name for it is "bacterial SSU rRNA". It matches the Rfam family "Bacterial small subunit ribosomal RNA", at positions 355 to 796 of the family's 1533-position model. The record is from RNAcentral.
UGGGGAAUAUUGGACAAUGGGCGCAAGCCUGAUCCAGCCAUGCCGCGUGAGUGAAGAAGGCCCUUUGGGUUGUAAAGCUCUUUCAGCGGGGACGAUGAUGACGGUACCCGCAGAAGAAGCCCCGGCUAACUUCGUGCCAGCAGCCGCGGUAAUACGAAGGGGGCAAGCGUUGUUCAGAUUUACUGGGCGUAAAGGGCGCGUAGGCGGACGAUCAUGUCAGAGGUGAAAGCCCCGGGCUCAACCUGGGAAUUGCCUUUGAAACGGGUUGUCUUGAGGACGGGAGAGGAUGGUGGAAUACCCAGUGUAGAGGUGAAAUUCGUAGAUAUUGGGUGGAACACCGGUGGCGAAGGCGACCAUCUGGCCCGUAACUGACGCUGAGGCGCGAAAGCGUGGGGAGCAAACAGGAUUAGAUACCCCCGUAGUCC